RNAcentral lists this ribosomal RNA (253 nucleotides) under uncultured bacterium. Its description in RNAcentral is "partial 16S ribosomal RNA". It matches the Rfam family "Bacterial small subunit ribosomal RNA", at positions 524 to 776 of the family's 1533-position model. The record is from RNAcentral.
UACGAAGGGGGCUAGCGUUGCUCGGAAUUACUGGGCGUAAAGCGCACGUAGGCGGAUCUUUAAGUCAGGGGUGAAAUCCCGGAGCUCAACUCCGGAACUGCCUUUGAUACUGAGGGUCUUGAGUCCGGGAGAGGUGAGUGGAACUGCGAGUGUAGAGGUGAAAUUCGUAGAUAUUCGCAAGAACACCAGUGGCGAAGGCGGCUCACUGGCCCGGUACUGACGCUGAGGUGCGAAAGCGUGGGGAGCAAACAGG